CAACGGAAAGGAUGGCCAAACUGUGGUCUCUGUCAGAUUUGCAAAAGGGAACCAGAGACGGCAGCGCAGACCAUCUUCUAGUGUCGAUGCACGAUGCACAUUUGGAUGGAGAUAAAAAAUUGGAUGAGAUUGACCAAUCUGGAUAUCACUAUCUGGAGAAACUUUCACACCGUGAUAGAGUGGUGGCACCACAUGGUGGGCGUCAAUGCCAACGUGAGAAAGGGCCUUGCAACCCUCGUCAUGUUUGUCUCUUGGGAGAUUUGAAACAAGCGGAACACGCGGGUGUUUAGAAAUGUGUCAUCCUUGACAACUAUAAUCACAUCUAAGAUUAAGACCAAUGCUGGGUUAUUGGGGAUGGUGGGGGCUAAGCGUCUAUGUUCUUUAAUGUCGCAAGAGUAG
RNAcentral lists this ribosomal RNA (399 nucleotides) under Triticum aestivum (bread wheat). Its description in RNAcentral is "partial small subunit ribosomal RNA". The record is from RNAcentral. Lineage: Eukaryota; Viridiplantae; Streptophyta; Magnoliopsida; Poales; Poaceae.